GCCCAGACUCCUACGGGAGGCAGCAGUGGGUCCUCUUGCGCAAUGUUCUCCAGCCUGACUCCUCGACGCCGCGUUCUGUAUGAAGGUCUUCGGAUCGUAACCCUCUGUCAGCAGGGCCGACAGGUCACUUUGCUAAUCAGCAGUGAAUUGACGGUACCUGCAAAGGAAGCACCGGCUAACUCCGUGCCAGCAGCCGCGGUCAUACGGAGGGUGCGAGCGUUAAUCGGAAUUACUGGGCGUAAAGCGCUCGUAGGCGGUAUGUCAAGUCAAGGGUGAAAUCCCCGCGCUCAACGUGGGAACUGCCUUUGAAACUGGCAAACUGGAGUGUGUGAGAGGAUAGUGGAAUUCCAGGUGUAGGAGUGAAAUCCGUAGAUAUCUGGAGGAACAUCAGUGGCGAAGGCGACUAUCUGGCACAUAACUGACGCUGAGGAGCGAAAGCGUGGGUAGCAAACAGGAUUAGAUACCCGGGUACG
This 473-nucleotide ribosomal RNA is filed under the name uncultured bacterium. Its description in RNAcentral is "bacterial SSU rRNA". It matches the Rfam family "Bacterial small subunit ribosomal RNA", at positions 329 to 793 of the family's 1533-position model. The record is from RNAcentral.